This 283-nucleotide ribosomal RNA is filed under the name uncultured bacterium. RNAcentral describes it as "partial 16S ribosomal RNA". It matches the Rfam family "Bacterial small subunit ribosomal RNA", at positions 333 to 607 of the family's 1533-position model. The record is from RNAcentral.
GGAGUCCUACGGGGGGCAGCAGUAGGGAAUCUUCGGCAAUGGACGAAAGUCUGACCGAGCAACGCCGCGUGAGUGAAGAAGGUUUUCGGAUCGGAAAACUCUGUUGGUAGAGAAGAACGUUGGUGAGAGUGGAAAGCUCAUCAAGCGACGGUAACUACCCAGAAAGGGACGGCUAACUACGUGCCAGCAGCCGCGGUAAUACGUAGGUCCCGAGCGUUGUCCGGAUUUAUUGGGCAUAAAGCGAGCGCAGGAGGUGUAUUAAGACUGGUGUAAAAGGCAGUGG